RNAcentral lists this transfer RNA (74 nucleotides) under Desulfobaculum bizertense DSM 18034. Its description in RNAcentral is "Desulfovibrio bizertensis DSM 18034 tRNA". It matches the Rfam family "tRNA". Rfam says of the family: Transfer RNA (tRNA) molecules are approximately 80 nucleotides in length. Their secondary structure includes four short double-helical elements and three loops (D, anti-codon, and T loops). Further hydrogen bonds mediate the characteristic L-shaped molecular structure. tRNAs have two regions of fundamental functional importance: the anti-codon, which is responsible for specific mRNA codon recognition, and the 3' end, to which the tRNAs corresponding amino acid is attached (by aminoacyl-tRNA synthetases). tRNAs cope with the degeneracy of the genetic code in two manners: having more than one tRNA (with a specific anti-codon) for a particular amino acid; and 'wobble' base-pairing, i.e. permitting non-standard base-pairing at the 3rd anti-codon position. Lineage: Bacteria; Pseudomonadati; Thermodesulfobacteriota; Desulfovibrionia; Desulfovibrionales; Desulfovibrionaceae. The record is from Rfam by way of RNAcentral.
GGCGAGAUAGCUCAGUUGGUUAGAGCAUGCGGCUCAUAUCCGCAGUGUCGGAGGUUCAAGUCCUCUUCUCGCUA